UGUCCAUUCAUGUUUCAUCUCGUCGAAGGCGGUUGUGUGCGGAGCGGAGUUUUGGUUUUCCGCUGGUUUUUCGUAAAAAACAAAAACAAUAACAAAUCACCAGUAUGUCUCGUUAAAAUAAGUAAUCCACAAAAUUAAAAAUCAAGAAAGUUCAAGUGCUCUCAGAAGUGUAAAAAGCUAAAUUUAUUAAAAUAAGAAAGAAGUGGAUGAAAAGGAACGGAAAACGAACGAACAGUCGGUUGCGGAGCGGAAAAAAAAACAGCAGUAACAACAACAAAAACGGCGGCGGGGCGAUUAAACAAAACGCCGCCAAAACACACACAGCAAAAGAAAAAAAUAUUGUUAUUAUUAUCUGUGAAAUAAAAAGAAGGCAAGUUCCCCUCUUUCUCUCUCCCUCGCUUCAAUACCCCCCUCGCGUCUGUGUGUGAGCGCCUAUGUGCAGCGGUCUAUCUGUGUGUAUGUGUGUGCGGGCGCGAGUGCGUUUGUGUGUGGAAAUGCAUUAAUUACACCAAUACCAAGGCAGAUGCAGCAGCAACGGCUACAACAAAAUAGUUAAUAUAAAAAUACACAAAAUAAAAUACAAUAAAAAAAGGAAAAAAUACAAACAAAAACAUAAAAACAAAGGCAGCCAACAAAAAUGAUAAAAAUUUAAUUUUUUUAUUGUUUCCAAUUGAUUUUUGUGAUGCUUUUCCUGCCGAAUGAAAUUCGAAAAGGGAUUAGGCAACCAAAAAAUCACAACAGCAACAUAAACAACCACUACUAAAUUUUCCAAUAAAUCAAAAUCGGUAAACUUUUUGGACUCGGGUCGGUUUUAAAUCGGUUUUUUCGAACCACAGAACUUGGAACGCGACGCGUCGUUUAUCUGGCUUAUUUUUUGAAGAUUUUCGAAAAAGAAAAGCCAUCGAAAAUGCGAAACUUUCGAAUACAGUCCAAUACGGUUUUUAAUUAAAUUAAAGAAAGCCAGCGAAGAAAGGAUCCGCGACGAUCAUCGGUCUGGAAAAACAUCUUCAAAUGGUCUCACAACGCAAAUGUUCAAGAAGUGAAGCAAAUAAAGCAGAAGAAAUCUGAAAAAUAUAGUUUAAAAAAAGUAUCUGCUUAAAAUAUCCAAAACAAAGCCAACUAUCCAAAAUAUAUAUAAUUAAAUAUAUAUAUAAAUAUAUAUAAUGUGCGUAAUGUUUAAUAAAAAGAAGAAGGGGGCCCCACCCUCCUACAGGCGCUAAGUAAAAUACGUGGCAUUCGAUCGCGAUCGCGCAAUGCUAAUCCUAAAUCGAUGUGGAUUCUGUGCUGUGAGUGUUCCGUUGUCGAAACAUGGUACGCGACAGUAGCCGUAACAUUUGUUUUGGAAAAUUAGCCGAAACUACGACGACGACGCCGCACCUCCAACAACACCUUCAACAUCAGCAGCAACAACAACAAUUCGUUGUGGAUAGCAGCAGCAACAAUAUUAACAAUAACAACAAUAAUAAUAACAACAACAAUAUUAAUAACAAUAAUCAGAAAUUGAAAAGGUAUGUGUCGUAAUGCAGCCAAAAAUAAUGUACAUGAAUUAUUACAAUUGGUAAAUAUGAGCAAACAGAUUUUAUAUCUGUGUACGUACUUAUUGUGGUUAUAUUUGUGUGUGCGCCAGUUUUUCAUGGGCCAAAUGAAUUUUUCAAUAAUUUUCUAGCUAACUCUUCUUGCCUCCCUAAGCUCCUCGAAGCCAAAAUGCAUUUGUUGAUUUACCAAAAAACUGCCAAAAUGCAUUCGAGGAGGGAAAUAUGCUUUUAUGUUGUUUAUGACCAGGCUAUAUACUAUAUUAUAUAUAUAUUUUUCGUUUUUGUUUGAAUACUUUUGGCUCGCAUUUUUAUGAUCGAUGCCAAAAAGGGAUUUUAAAGCUUUUUUCUUUUUUGUUGUUCUUUUGAAUAAUGUGUGGCAUGUUUUGGUCUUAAAUAGGAUUACAAAUAGCAACGAUGUUUGUCUGCUGUAUAUCUUGAAGCUAAGUAAUUGAAAAAGCUAAUUUUGAGAGAAACAAUAAUAUAUUUUUAAUAAAAAUAUGUAGAAAAUAGUAUGGAAAAUAUAGGAAAUAUCUACAUUACCAUAUAAAAGUCUACAUUACAAAAAACACCUGAUUUUUCGUUUAUUUUCCCUAUUUUUCUAUUUUCCAGUUGAGCAUUUUAGCUUUUGUCUUAGGUCCAAAAACAUUUGAACGUUGUGCUGAUACUGUAUCUGUAUCUGUGGCAUUUAUGAGUUUAUUUUGGCUAAUACCGCCGUCUAUAGAUAAGAUCUUUUGGUUGAUUUUGGCCUGAUCGAGAGGUUCCUUUACAUAUGAAUUUAUAUAGAAGCCAAAUGGUUCAAUUAUUCAAAUACUCAUUAACCCAAAUUGUUGGAGGUACGUUUUUCCCCCCUUAUAUUUCCUGGGCUUUUCCACCCCAAGAACCGAAAAUUUACUCUAUGCCGUGCCAUGUGCGCAUCUAAAAUGCUUUUAUUGAUUCACUGGGCUUUGUCUAUAUAAAUCAGGGUUCCAUAUAACACACAUGUGUGUGUGAGCAUUAUAUGGAUUUUCUUUUUGGGGGCAUUGGUGUUUGUGAUUAUACGCCGUAUAUGCAUUAAUUUCCAUACGAUACAAUGAAUCCUAUUCCAGUAUUUUUUGCUUUUUUUCCUUUUGAUUUUUCACAGUCGUUUUUGUUUUGAUAUUUUAGCGAUUUCUCUUUGACGUCAAUUGCUGAAUGGAUUUUGAGGCUGUAUAAUUCGUUUGUUAUGGGUUUUCGUUUGGGUUUAUUGAUUGGCAAGAGAGAGAGAGAGGGGCCAAGGAAUGCAUUGUUGAUGCGAUAAAAUGAGGUUUAUACUGGAGAGGUAUUUAAUCCAAAACUAAGGGAAAUGUUUUAAUAUUAUAAGGUUUUAUUUUGGUAUAUAAUUAAGGUGUUAAAUAAUUUGUAUUUUUCAUUCUAAAAAUUCUUCUUACAAAAUUUUGAUUAUAAGUCUAAAGAAUAUGAAAGAUUUUUUUAAUGUAAUUCUUAUUUAUAUCUCUUUAUAAAAAAGGCCAUCACGUUAUCCUAAAGAUAUUCCUUCAUUUAAUAGGUAUCUUUACCUGCGACUUGACCUUCCUCAUAUAAUUUUUUUUGACUCACUCUUAAUCAUAAUUCGCACCCUGCCACCACAUAUGGCAGAAAUCGAAAAAAAGUCUCAUGUGCUCCCUCCAGUUUAUCAUCACUCUUGGUUACUAUAUAUUUUAGGCCUUCUACAUAUUUUCUAGGCCUUUUAGCUGUUAUCUCUCACUCUGCCUGCCAUUGUUCCUGUCUAAUUGCUGAGUUAACUUAUCUUGACUUGGCCCGUAAAUUGUCUGCCCACAGUGAACAAUAUACCAAAUACGAAAUACGAAAUAAGUACAAUGUGUGUGCUAUGUGUGCCAUUCUGAUAAAAAAGAAAAAAAUCUAGUCACGAUAAGCGUUCUUUGAUAGCAACCGAGUAUUAUGACUAAGUGAUACGUUUCACUGCCUGAUAAACAAUAUUAUUUCUGUCUCUUUCUAGGGCACUUUUUGGGAUUUUUGUUAUUGUUGUGUAUUUAAUUCACCACAGGUGUUGAGUGGGCCGAAUGUGAGCCGAUUGUCGUUGAGAGCUUAAGUUUUAUCUUAUCUGGGCUGUGGGGACCACAACAAAAGCAUUCCAAAUUGAACCAUUUUUCUCCCCUUUGCUAUCUGAAACUACUUACUUACUCCCACUACUGGAAAACAUGUGCACAUUUUGAUAGAUUACGACGUUAACGCGUUCGUUUUUUUUUUGUCGUGACUUACAUAAAAAAAUACAGUGCAUACAGUACAUUGCAAAAGGGGUAAGAGAAUUGUUUAAGAAAAUUAUAAUAAAAAAUAUAAAUGGUUUAUAAAGGCAAGUUAGUGAUGAAAAGUGAUCUAUAAUCUUACAAAAAGUCAGAGCGAUCUCCUCUUCCUUUUCACUUUAAAAUUCCCAAGUGCAAAUUCAGCGACAAAUUCCUUUAGCUUCUUCGCUUUUAACUACAACUUUUCACAAGAUUCUGCGUGUUUCCGACCGAAAAAUAUCAACCAGCUAUAUAAAAUAAAUAAAAACUAUAAUUAUACAAACGAAAGAUUUUAGAAAAAAUUGUAACAGAUUUCCUUAGUUCUAGAGAAAAUAUCCAACCUAUUUUUAAUUCUAACUAAAAUCUCCUCACUGUACUAACCCACCCACAUUGCCUUAAAUGACUGAAACGUACUUUAUAUUAGAGCUCGUAAAAGCCUACGUGUAUAUUUUUGGUCCGCAUAUACAUACAUUAUAGUUGAUGAAUAAAUGCGUUUCCCCUGCGGCGAUUAGAUAAGGCAAAAGGCUGAUAAGAAAAAUUGGACAUGUGAGUAACGUUGCCUCAUACGAAAGUCCAGAAAAAAUAACGGGGGGAAAUAGGGGAAAGCACUGCGGAAUGUUUGCAAAGGCAAAUAUUUAAAUGCUGCGCAAUGGAAAAAAAGAAACAAGAAAAUUAAGAAUCUUUUACAAAAUAAAUACAAAAAACCCCUUCCAAGUUAGUCAGAGUGAAGUAAUAAUAUUAUAUCACGACCACUCGUUAAGUUUGUCUCGCAAAUUUUGUAGUUUAUUGGCUGUUGUGUUCAGCUAUUGAUAAGCUCUGGAGGAAACUUUGUCAAGGUUGUUCGGUGACCUUCAAGCGUGGACUGAUUAGUAAAAAAAAAUUAACCGAGUUUAGGAAUGCCAUAUACUGUUAAAUUAGAAUUUAUUUAAAAGUAUAAAUAAAACAAAAGGCUUGGAAAUUAACAGGUGUUUCAAGUGAAUUGGAACUAAGCUACUCUUUAUUUGUAAUUAAUUUUUGUAAGUCUUUCAUUUUGGUUUUAAAAUAAAGUAUCUUCUAGUCGAGGAAUCUUCUAGUCGAAGUAUCUUCUAGUCGAGGUAUCUUCUAGUCGAAGUAUCUUCUUGUCGAAGUAUCUUCUAGUUCCAAGUGAAAGCAAACUUAACCCCUGAGAUAUUCUUCUAGUGAUUGUCUCAAUUAAUCUUUUAAGCUUUGGGGGAUUUUUACAUUUAGUUUUUUUUUUCUGUUUCUUUUGCUUCUUUGUUUGUCCAUUCUAUUUCGGGUUCUGUCUUAGUUUAUUUGUUUAUUUUUAUUUAUCUCUCUUUUUUUUGGGGGGUUCUGAGUCGUGCCUAGCACCGGAUUUUGUAUUGUUAAUUUGCUGCCCAGCGAAAUUAUAAAUGUAAAUAAAUAAUUUCACAAAUUUGAAUAUAAUUUGCCAUUAAAUAUGGCAAAUAAAUUUAGUUUAGAGCUUUAAUUAGUUAAAGGGAAAUAUAAUACAAUACAAGAGCUAAAAGAACAUUUUUUUUCUUAGCAGAAUUUUUCCUUUUUGGCGCUUUUCCUUUUCUGGACUUUGGCUGCUUGCUGCUCAUAAAAGGCUCAAUCAGCAUGGCAAACAGCCCAUAUAUACAAAUCAUAAUGGCCAUAUAUAAAUAUAUAUAUAUAAACUAUAUAAGCCUCUGUCUCUCUGUUGGCGAUGAACAAACACAUGACAAAGCAAAUGCUGAACGCUUUUGAGCCGAGUUCUUUGGUUAUGCUAACCAUACAAAGCCGUGCAUAUAUAUAUUCCCAUUUAUAUAUAUAUUUCUACAGAUUUAUAUAUAUAUUUGUAUAUAUAUAUUUGGAGGAGCCACAAAAGACCAAGGCAAACACACAAGCGGAAAGAAUGACAGAAGAACAGACAGAGGAAAUCUCCAUAUAAACAGCAGACCCCCACAGUAUAUACCAUAUAUUGUAUGUAUAUAUCUCCAGCCAGCUCUGUGCCUACAAUAACAACAAUAACAAAUGUACCUGUUGUGCGUUGAGAAAAAGCAAAAGAAACACACAGACAGAAAAAAAAGAAAUAUAAAGAAACGACGGAGCAGCGAGCUAAAAUGUUAUUCAAGUUACCUUUGAGUCUCGAAACCGGUUGGCGGCUCACUCGUAGCAGCACGUAGGUGCUGCCAACUCACUGUGCGAUGAACAAGAAAAAUAAAAGAGAAAAAAUAAUAAUACUGCAGAAAAAAAAAUAUAAUAAAAAAAAAUUAAAACAAAAUGCGUUCAUAUGUCUGGCCGAAAGGCGAUGGGUUCAGGUUAAUUAAAAAAAAGCAUAUUAGGCGUGCAAAAAAGUUAGAAUUAAAUAUUUUAAGCUUAUGAAAUGUUUGGAGGGUUAUGAUAAAAGGUUUUACUUAGUUUUCAGGGUUUGUUUUAAUACAAAAUGAGCUAGAAAUGAGUCAGAUUUUUAUAUAAACACAAAAUAAUUAGUUUACAAAACAAAAACAAAAAUAUAUUAGGCACUUUUUUUUUAUUAUAUAUUUAUCUAAGAAUUAUUGUGGGGCAUCUUUGUCAUUUAAAAACAAAAUUUUAAGCUAUUAAAAACUGCACCUUUAGAGACAAUUGUGUAUAAAAUAACAAUUAUAUUUGAAUUAUAAAAU
This is a non-coding RNA of Drosophila kikkawai, 6414 nucleotides long. The record is from RefSeq and is a predicted model, not a curated record. Lineage: Eukaryota; Metazoa; Arthropoda; Insecta; Diptera; Drosophilidae.